RNAcentral lists this ribosomal RNA (1102 nucleotides) under Clostridioides difficile. RNAcentral's name for it is "partial 23S ribosomal RNA". It matches the Rfam family "Bacterial large subunit ribosomal RNA", at positions 342 to 1455 of the family's 2925-position model. Lineage: Bacteria; Bacillati; Bacillota; Clostridia; Peptostreptococcales; Peptostreptococcaceae. The record is from RNAcentral.
UUGGAAAGACCCACCACAGAAGGUAAUAGUCCUGUAUGUUAAACGAGAAGACUUCAGAUAUGAUCCAGAGUACCACGGGACACGUGAAACCCUGUGGGAAGCAGGAGGGACCACCCUCCAAGGCUAAAUACUACCUAGUGACCGAUAGCGUAUAGUACCGUGAGGGAAAGGUGAAAAGAACCCCGGGAGGGGAGUGAAAUAGAACCUGAAACCCUGCACUUACAAGCUGUGGAAGCACAUUUCUUGUGUGACCGCGUACUUUUUGUAGAACGGGCCAACGAGUUACGUUAAGUAGCAAGGUUAAGCACUUAAGGUGCGGAGCCGUAGCGAAAGCGAGUUUUAACUGAGCGUUCAGUUACUUGACGUAGACCCGAAACCGGGCGACCUACCCAUGAGCAGGAUGAAGCGAAAGUAAAAUUUCGUGGAGGUCCGAACCCACGAGCGUUGAAAAGCUCGGGGAUGACUUGUGGGUAGCGGUGAAAUUCCAAUCGAGCCCGGAGAUAGCUGGUUCUCCCCGAAAUAGCUUUAGGGCUAGCCUCAAGGUGAGAGAUACGGAGGUAGAGCACUGAAUGUCCUAGGGGGUAUUGCACCUACCGAAGACUAUCAAACUCCGAAUGCCGUCAUCUUAUACUUGGGAGUCAGACUGUGGGUGAUAAGAUUCAUAGUCGAAAGGGCAACAGCCCAGAUCGUCAGCUAAGGUCCCUAAAUGUAAGUUAAGUGGUAAAGGAUGUGGGAUUGCACAGACAACCAGGAUGUUGGCUUAGAAGCAGCCACUCAUUCAAAGAGUGCGUAAUAGCUCACUGGUCGAGUGAUCCUGCGCCGAAGAUUUCCGGGGCUAAAACUUACUACCGAAGCUACGGCAUCAGUAAUGAUGGGUAGGGGAGCUUCCCAUACGGGUUGAAGCAUGACCGUAAGGACAUGUGGACAGUAUGGGAGUGAGAAUGUUGGCAUGAGUAGCGAGAUGUGGGUGAGAAUCCCACAGGCCGUAAACCCAAGGUUUCCAGGGGAAGGUUCGUCCGCCCUGGGUUAGUCGGGACCUAAGCUGAGGCCGAAAGGCGUAGGUGAUGGACAACAGGUUGAUAUUCCUGUACUACCGAUAACC